Long non-coding RNA from Oncorhynchus tshawytscha (Chinook salmon), 1003 nucleotides. NCBI's taxonomy places the organism in Eukaryota, Metazoa, Chordata, Actinopteri, Salmoniformes, Salmonidae. The record is from Ensembl.
UGUUAUUGUGUCUCUACUUCCUGUUUGUAUCUCUGUAACCUUCAGUCAGAUGUUCUCUUGUUAUUUCACUACUUCCUGUUUUGAUCUUUGCUCGAAAGUUGUUGUUUUCAACAGAAGGUUCAUAUGGCUUCAUGUUGGACACACCCGCAUGUCAUUUUAAACACAAUUAUCAUCUUGUUAUUUUCUUGUAAAUGGAAAGCGGAGAAAAAGGUCGAACCUGAAAUGAAUUGAUUUGUAAUUAGAACAAACAGCUCUGUUACUUCUUACCUCUCAGUUUGUUUUGUUUUCUGAAUCCCAUUUCUGAGUCAAUCUACACUGAACAAAAAAAUAGAAACGCAACAUGUAACUUAUUUAGCAAACAUUUCUCUACCAUGAGCCGCCUCCGAUGUCGUUUUUAGAGAAUUUGGCAGUACGUCCAACCGGCCUCACAACAGCAGACCGUGUUACCAUGCCAGCUAAGGACCUCCACGGCUUCUGCAUCGGCAGGAUCGUCUGAGACCAGCCACCCGAACAGCUGUUGAAACUGAGGAGUAUUUCAGUGGCUGCGCCCAGUCAUGUGAUGUAGAUUAGGGCCUAAUGUAUUUAAAUUGACUGAUUUCCCUCUAUAAACUGUACCUCAGAACUGUUGUGUUUUAAUUUCUGUUCAGUAUAAUUAUGACGUACGCGUGGAAUGUAAUUUCAGACAUGAAUUGAGUUAAUAAAGAACGAAUCUAACGAGACGUGUUUGUCUGUGUGUGUGGUGUGAGGUGGUGAGGUGCAUUUAAGACUGGAAACUCAAGACAAAAUUAGGUGAAAUCGUGAUGUAAAAACAUUGAAGUCAGAUGGUGAGGUCAAAUCGUGACAUCAGUGAGGUCAGAUGGUGAGGUCAAAUCGUGACAUCAGUGAAGUCAGAUGGUGAGGUCAAAUCGUGACAUCAGUGAGGUCAGAUGGUGAGGUCAAAUUGUGACAUCAGUGAGGUCAGAUGGUGAGGUCAAAUCGUGACAUCAGUGAGGUCAAAUCGUGA